Molecule: ribosomal RNA, 449 nt
Filed under: uncultured bacterium
Lineage: Bacteria
Description: bacterial SSU rRNA
Rfam family: Bacterial small subunit ribosomal RNA
Source: RNAcentral
AUGAAUGCUGGCGGCGUGCCUAACACAUGCAAGUCGAGCGGAAGCGCGUCUAGUUUACUAGAUGGCGGCGAGCGGCGAACGGCUGAGUAACGCGUGGGAAUUUGCCCCAAAGUGAGGAAUAACUGCCCGAAAGGGUAGCUAAUGCCGCAUAUGGUCUUCGGAUUAAAGGAUUUAUCCGCUUUGGGAGAAGCCCGCGUACGAUUAGAUAGUUGGUGAGGUAAUGGCUCACCAAGUCUACGAUCGUUAGCUGGUCUGAGAGGAUGACCAGCCAGACUGGAACUGAGACACGGUCCAGACUCCUACGGGAGGCAGCAGUGAGGAAUCUUCCACAAUGGGCGAAAGCCUGAUGGAGCAACGCCGCGUGAAGGAUGAAGGCCCUCGGGUCGUAAACUUCUUUUAUAAGUGAAGAAUAUGACGGUAACUUAUGAAUAAGCACCGGCUAACUACGU